Molecule: ribosomal RNA, 787 nt
Filed under: uncultured Hymenochaetales
Lineage: Eukaryota; Fungi; Basidiomycota; Agaricomycetes; Hymenochaetales
Description: eukaryotic LSU rRNA
Rfam family: Eukaryotic large subunit ribosomal RNA (bases 397-787)
Source: RNAcentral
UUCAGUGAAUCAUCGAAUCUUUGAACACACCUUGUGCUCCUUGGGUUACCUAUGGAGCAUGCCUGUUUGAGUGUCAUGUUAGUCUCAAUUCCCUCAGGCUCUUUUUAUACAAUAUGAAGGCCUGUUUAUAAUAGGGUAUUGGAUUUUGGAGGGCUUUAUGCAGGUCCCCUUGUAGGGAAUCAGCUCCCCCCUAAAAAUAUUAGCUGGAGGAUGAAGCAAAAAUGGGCUCUCUUAGCAUUGUUCAUUGGCUAUGGKGUAAUAAUUGUUUCAUCAUGGCAUUAUGAGUGAUUCAGUGCAAUGGGGGGGCAAUAUAUAUAUAUAGCUCCCAGGAGGCUUUUUGUUACAUUCUCUGCAUUUGAUUUGCCAGAUUUAUCCGGUAAUUCAUAUAUUCUCCUUUGGCCUCAAAUCAGGUAGGACUACCCGCUGAACUUAAGCAUAUCAUUAAGCGGAGGAAAAGAAACUAACAAGGAUUCCCCUAGUAACUGCGAGUGAAGCGGGAAGAGCUCAAAUUUAAAAUCUGGCAGUUCUGCUGUCCGAGUUGUAAUCUGUAGAAGCAUUUUCUGCAUUGGACUGUGUACAAGUCUCUUGGAAUAGAGCGUCAUAGAGGGUGAGAAUCCCGUCCAUGACACAGAAUACCAAUGCUAUGUGAUAUGCUCUCAAAGAGUCGAGUUGUUUGGGAAUGCAGCUCAAAAUGGGUGGUAAAUUCCAUCUAAAGCUAAAUACAGGCGAGAGACCGAUAGCGAACAAGUACCGUGAGGGAAAGAUGAAAAGCACUUGGAAAGAGAGU